Molecule: long non-coding RNA, 4747 nt
Filed under: Homo sapiens (human)
Lineage: Eukaryota; Metazoa; Chordata; Mammalia; Primates; Hominidae
Description: HSALNT0145066
Source: RNAcentral
UGCAGUCUUGGUGCUGUGCAAAGGGGGAUGAGAAUGCUAGCCAUCCCCGGGGGCAGCUGUGAGGAUGAGAAGGAAGGGAGUGUGACCUGUGCUCCAUCUGGCUCUGACACUGUCGAGAGCUGCCCAUUCUGUCUCCAGGACCUCGGUCCUUGCAACUGAGUGGAUGCCAUGGGAGCUCCAGCCAAUUCUCACUGGAGCCUACCCACUGUCUAUAGUUGAUUGGUGCAGAGAUAGCCGCUCAACCCAAACUGGGCCAAUCAAAGUGCUUCUCUGGGAUUUCCUGUUAAUAAAGGUCAGACUCUGGACCCUUAUUUGAGCUUCAAUGUGAACUUUCAGUCCUGUUCUUCACCAGAUGGUGAGAGAUUGAGGCUGAGAUUUGGAGGAAAGCAGAGGGGAGAGAGAGUGUGCUCAGUGGCAGUACUCAUGAGGCCCCAGGACUUACUGAAGCCUAAAGUUUCUGAUGUUUUGAGGUCUCCCCUGCCCUUCCAGUUCCAAGCCCUCCCCUGUCAUGUUCCAUUGUAUGGACACUGGCUUCUUCCUGAUGUUUCCUUUGUGCUUUUUCUUGUUGUCCAUCUGUCCCCUUGUCACCUCCAUUUUGCCAGCUCUGGGAAUGCCACCUGCCCCCUGUAGGCUCCUAAUAUGCACAUUUUACAAAGAGGAAUGCUGAGCUUCCUGGGGGCUGAUCAUGUAGCCUUCCUGGGAUUCUGUAGCCAAUAAGUGAGCGUUUGUCUUGUUUCUGCGCCUUGCAGCCAGAACCCUGAAGAAUGCCAGUGUCUGUGGUCUUGGGAAAGUCUCUUCCCUUCUUUGGCUGCGUCUGUCCUUCCUGCAAAGCAGGAGGAGAUGGUAGCACUGCAAAGGUAAUGGCGAGGCCUGGGAGCGUGCCAGCCCCUCCCGAUGCUCUCAGGGGAAGAGCCAGGCGUAGGAACCCUUGUAGGGUGGGAGGUGUGGAUGCAGACCUUGGAUCUGGAGCCACCCCUCCCAAAACACAUGCAGGGAUGUUAGGCACAGUGUUCAACCUCCCUUGGUUUCAGUCUGGAAAAUGCAGGAUUUGAUGAGGCCAGUCGUUGGCACCCCACAUGGAACUUCUCUAGUAAUCUCAGCUGAUAUUCUUCCUGCUCACAGUACACAGUGUGUGCAGUUCCUCCAUGUGCAUAACUCAUAAAUCCCAACACCAGUCUGGAAUGAACCCCUGUGGGAGGUCUGACCCUGGGCCAGGCCACACACACGCACCGUUCAUGAGCCUCACUAGAACUCUGGGCAGAAAAGCGCUUCUGCAGAUGAGGAAACUGCAGGUUGGGGAGGUUCCUUGCCUUCCCCAAGUCACAGAACACGUUUGUGGUACACCCAGGCAUCAUGCCGUGGUUGGUCUAACUCUUCAGCUGGUGCUUGGGCCUUCCAUGACCUACUCCACUCUUCUUGCGAAACCUGAUGACAUCAUUACAUGUCCCCUAUGAGGCCAUCUGGUUGUUAUAGGGAGGAUGAUCCAGGCUAGAGAGGUGUGGGCUGCACUGGUGGCUCCUAGAGCUGGCGAUCCUUCAUAUUCAGGAACACUGCAAGCUGUGGCCAACACUGACUUCCUGGAAUCAGCCAACGUGGGAGCCUGGACACUGCAGAAAUUGGCAAACCACACAGCCGAGCGCUGCCCUUCUCCUUCCCAGAGGAGCAGCUUCCCAGCCCCGCACCGUGUUUACCCUGCAUGGUCACCGGGUUGCCACCGGCAGACAAGGCCCUGCCUCCCCCUUGAGCACACAGGCCAUCGAGACUCCCUUCUCAGGAGCCCCAACUGGUUUCCCGCCACUACGGACCCCUGAGCUUCUCUCCUGGAAGCUCCAGGGUGGCGGCUGCCUGGCCUUCAGAGACACCCACUGCCUCAGACCAGGCAGCCUGACUUGGAGACCCUUCCCCAUAGGAGCUGGGCUCCCCUUCAGCCUGCACAACCCACCCUUCACACCCAGUGGGAAGCCCACCCUCCUUGGGGAAGCCCACCCUCCUUGGGGAAGCCCUCUGCAGCCUGGCAGGAGGCCUUUGCUCCCUGGGUCCCCUCCUUGGGUCUCCUUCCCCAGGUCUCCUUCCCCAGGCUGUCCUGGGGCCCAGCUCUGUCUCUCACCUGGCGGUGUGGGCCUCGAGGGCUGGGCCUGUUGUGGGCCAGACCCCACCUGUUGGAAAUGCAGCCACCACAGUGCUCAAACAGCUGACCUUGUGCUUCCUUCAUGUGGAGGGAAAAAGACCUGGGGGCAGACCACUAACUGAACCAGCGUCAUUUAUGCAGAAAAUGCAUCCCUCUUGCCAUUCCUAUUUGCCCAAAGAUAUCCUGGAAGGGGGUCUUAGAGGCCAGCUGAAUCCCUGUCCGAAGCAGGGGGUCAGAGAGAGAUCUGCCCCAGCUGCAGAGCACGUGGCCUCCCAGUACGAGAAGUGGGGUGGCUGCACCCAGCACAGUGGGUACAAGGAAGUUGGAGCCACUCUGGACCACACUGGCCACAGCCUGAUCUGCGCAUUGCCCGGGCCCUGAGCACCUGGCCAGGUGCUGAACUCCUUUGGGAACUUCAGGUCUGAUGGAGAGGUGCUCCGUCCACUCUGCCCAGUGUCUGCCCUCUGCCCAGACGCCCCAAAAGCAGCCGCAGAGAGAAGGCGAACUUUGGCUUCGGGGGCCCAGUGCCACCACUUCCGAUCUGCGUGGCGGUGGUCAAGUGGCCUGGCUUUGCCGAGCCGCUUCCUCAUGUUGCACGUGGGGAUGACGGAGCCGCCCUCCAGGAAGCUCCAGGGAUUCAUAAGACCAGGCGUGCCAGAGCUGCAGGUCUCAGCAGCUGAUCACUAAGUGCUGGUGCCUGCUCACAAGGGACAGCUGCCCACCAGCUCUGGGCCAUGGCUGGGGGCUCCCGCCCAAGCCCUGGGCAACUGAUGAUACGUUGCUGACCGCAGGCAAGCCUCCCUGCCAGCCCUGCUGGCCUGCAUGGGACCAGGGAAGGAGGGUGAGGCCUAUAUUUAUCUGCAGUGUGAGGAGGCUUGUCUGGCAGUCAGAUGCAAAUGCCUUCAUCCCAUCUAGGCUGGUUGCUGCUCACAGCGGACAAGUCUUUCCCGCCUGUUCCACACCAGCCUGGUGCCAGUGACAGGGGUGGCGGGAGCUUCACAGUGCCUGGAGGCUCGUUCCUGGGCUGCGAAAGCGCCUGAGUGACGGAGGCUCAGGCUGAGCUUAGGCGAGUUUACUGAGGCUUAGGAGGAAGCCGGAUCAGAAGAGGCUGCAGAAACCAUAAUGCCCACACAUCCCUGCCCCAGCGGCGGCCCACAGGUGCCUGGCCUCAGCUCAGCUACACUGGAGGGGAGGUAGCCAGCACCCUGAUGGUGUCUCGGUUCUAAGACCCCAUUUACACAGUGGAAAACAGGAGGCAGCCGCCCAGCGACCUCUGCCCUUCAAAGGCUCCAAGAGAAGCAAAGGGACAGGUGUAAGGAAGUAAGCCCUGACCCUGGAGACUCAACAAGCCCUGAUGAAGUUAGACGAAGUUACAAGCUGGGCCCUGACCCUGGUCACACACUAAGCUCUGACCCUGGUCUCAGACUGAGCCCUGAUUCUCAUCACUGAGUCACUAAGUCCUGAUCCUGGUCACAUGUCGAGCCUCGACCUUAGUCAUACACUGAGUCUUGACCCUGGUCACAGGCUGAGCCCUGACCCUGGUCACACACUGAGCCCUGAUCCUGGUCACACACUGAGCCCUGACCCUGGUCCUCAAUCAGCUGAGCCUUGAUCCUGCUUCCUGAUUGGCUAUGAACUGUUCCAGUGUGGAAGGGAGAGGCCAGGGCAUGAGGUGGGACUCGCUAGGGCAGCCCCUCUGCACAUCUGGGACUCAGGUCAGAACACAACCCUCCCUACAUGCGAGAAGAAGUUCCUGCAGGUGGCAUCUUUCAGGUAGCUGUGCUUUAAGCCUGCGCUGGGCUUGCCCUCCGGUGACAGCAGCAGCUUUCAAGGAGGCAGCCAUGAGACAGUCCCUCAGGCUGGGGGCUUGAUCACGCUCACCUCAGAGCCUCACCUCCUGGGGAGUGAGCAAAAGUGAGAGUCAUUAACCCACUUUACAGAGGAGGAAACGGAGGCCCGGGAAGGGGCCUCAGGAUCUCGCCCAGAGAAUAGCCGGUCCUGAAGACCCUGCAUCUGAGCCACACCCUGCUCUGCCCACACCUCCUGGGGUCUCAGCACCCCCAGUGCAUUUUCCCCCGCCCCCGGCCUGCACUGUGAGCUCCGGUUGGUGGUUCCUAGCAAGCACCUGUUGGCUGUGCCAGGCCCCAAGCGCCUCAUGAGCUAAAGAGGGUGCCCUGCUAUUCUGGGGCUCAAUGCCCAGCCUCUGCCCGAGUAGCCUUGUCUGUGCCUGUCCUGGGCCGGCCCUCCACGUCUGGAGGGGAGACGGAGCUUGCCUUCUCUGUGCUGUGGGACUGACUGUGUCGGGGUGGGGCAGGGAGGAAGCAAAAACCAAACCCCUCGCUUCCCCGACUGCCUGCCCUCGCCUGUCUCCAAACCUCACGGACAUCCAGCUCGAGGGAAGUGAACGUCACUCCAAUAUCUGAAAAUGCAGCUGAUGCUGCAAUUACAUCCCCUGUCCCUUCUCCUUCCGGGGGUCCUCUGGGGUCCUGGGAAUCCGGCCAACAGGAAUCUGUUUUAUGAUCCUGAGUCUCUGCCAGCAGGAAGGCCGGGCGAGGCCGGUCCCUAUGUGCCCACGAUGCUCUCACAUAAAUAUGCAUCACUUAAAAUUUAAUAAAAAAU